Molecule: ribosomal RNA, 729 nt
Filed under: uncultured bacterium
Lineage: Bacteria
Description: bacterial SSU rRNA
Rfam family: Bacterial small subunit ribosomal RNA
Source: RNAcentral
AACAGGAUUAGAUACCCUGGUAGUCCACGCCCUAAACGAUGUCUACUAGUUGUCGGGUUUUAAUUAACUUGGUAACGCAGCUAACGCGUGAAGUAGACCGCCUGGGGAGUGCGGUCGCAAGAUUAAAACUCAAAGGAAUUGACGGGGACCCGCACAAGCGGUGGAUGAUGUGGAUUAAUUCGAUGCAACGCGAAAAACCUUACCUACCCUUGACAUGGAAGGAAUCCUGGAGAGAUCUGGGAGUGCCCGAAAGGGAACCUUCACACAGGUGCUGCAUGGCUGUCGUCAGCUCGUGUCGUGAGAUGUUGGGUUAAGUCCCGCAACGAGCGCAACCCUUGUCAUUAGUUGCUACAUUUGGUUGGGCACUCUAAUGAGACUGCCGGUGACAAACCGGAGGAAGGUGGGGAUGACGUCAAGUCCUCAUGGCCCUUAUGGGUAGGGCUUCACACGUCAUACAAUGGUACAUACAGAGGGCCGCCAACCCGCGAGGGGGAGCUAAUCCCAGAAAGUGUAUCGUAGUCCGGAUUGUAGUCUGCAACUCGACUACAUGAAGUUGGAAUCGCUAGUAAUCGCGGAUCAGCAUGUCGCGGUGAAUACGUUCCCGGGUCUUGUACACACCGCCCGUCACACCAUGGGAGCGGGUUUUACCAGAAGUAGGUAGCUUAACCGCAAGGAGGGCGCUUACCACGGUAGGAUUCGUGACUGGGGUGAAGUCGUAACAAGGUAACC